This 377-nucleotide ribosomal RNA is filed under the name uncultured eukaryote. RNAcentral's name for it is "SSU rRNA". It matches the Rfam family "Eukaryotic small subunit ribosomal RNA", at positions 587 to 969 of the family's 1831-position model. The record is from RNAcentral.
AGCUCCAAUAGCGUAUAUUUAAGUUGUUGCAGUUAAAAAGCUCGUAGUUGGACCUUGGGCUGGGCCGGCCGGUCCGCCCCACGGUGUGCACCGGCCUUCCCGUCCCUUCUGCCGGCGAUGCGCUCCUGUCCUUAACUGGACGGGUCGUGCCUCCGGCGCCGUUACUUUGAAGAAAUUAGAGUGCUCAAAGCAAGCCCACGCUCUGGAUACAUUAGCAUGGGAUAACAUCACAGGAUUUCGGUCCUAUUGUGUUGGCCUUCGGGAUCGGAGUAAUGAUUAAGAGGGACAGCCGGGGGCAUUCGUAUUUCAUAGUCAGAGGUGAAAUUCUUGGAUUUAUGAAAGACGAACCACUGCGAAAGCAUUUGCCAAGGAUGUUU